Cryptomeria japonica (Japanese cedar) is the source of this 3290-nucleotide long non-coding RNA. RefSeq lists it as uncharacterized. The record is from RefSeq and is a predicted model, not a curated record. NCBI's taxonomy places the organism in Eukaryota, Viridiplantae, Streptophyta, Pinopsida, Cupressales, Cupressaceae. The transcript is spliced from 2 exons.
UGUUUAUUUCUCUUAAGCUUCCAGUUUAUAAACCACCUGUUUAUUAGUUCCUUCCUUUCUUGCCUUUCUAGGAACUAUUGUCGAGGGCAUUCGUUAUCUUUCCAAUAGUUAUUAUCUCCUCCUGCCAAUCACAUUGCAGAUAUAAAAUGUUUAGUUCCUGCGGAUUCUUAUUUUGCAAUGUUUAAGUUGUUUGAUUUAAAUAAUUUUUAUAACCGAAAUGCAUAAAUGAAUGAAUUCGGCUUCUCAUUGGAUUAAAUAUUUAGACCGAUAUACUUGCCUUCACAUGGAACGAGGCGGGCUUUGGAUGUUGCCUGCAGGGUUGGAGUGUUUGGCAUUCUGUAGAUGGUGGAGAUGGAGACAGUGCAGAGCAGAGUCCAAAGCAGGGCCCUCAAAACAGGGCAAGCAGUUGGCAUUUGGGGCCGAGGCCAUACGACAUGGAGGUGCGUCUGGAGACAGAUGGCUAUGGAGGCUUUCGUUUUGGGCGUGCAGGCCAUAGUAACUGUUGCUGCGCAGCUUUGGCAGGGUUUUGAGGCGAGGAACAAGGGUUGUAGACAUAUGGCUCUUAGAGUUUUUGUUUGCAUGCAGGCCAGAGAACAUGUUGCUACACAGGUGGAAGAUGAUAGUGAAAGAAUAUUUAUAAAUGUAUGAUGCCACACUUUUAGAGUUCAGCUGUCCUGGAGCUCGACGUCGCCUUUUUACCUUCAGCGAUUCUUCAGGGAAAUAUUCUCUGUUCUGGUAUUUGCGGAACCCGUUGAGCAAAACGUGUGUAUAGAUUAUUUUUCUCUUUGUAACUUGAUGGGCAUCUGGAUCUGUAAGUUUAUUUCUUUCCCCUACAUCUCAUUGUUGUAGUUGUAUUAGGGUUUAUGGUAGUUCAUUUCAGUUAGCCAUUUUGUCAAUGCACUUGUCUUGCAUCAUCCAUAUUCCUUUCAUUUUCAGAGAUUCAUCUGUUGGUUUCAGUUUGCCAUCAAUGUCAGAAUCAGGCCUUUCAUUUUUGCACGCACAGGCCAACUUCCCUUGCCAAAGUGGGGGGAAGUGUUGUCAAGGGUUCCAAUGAUAACAUCUGUGUAAAUCCCUAACGUCCUUAUCCCAUUCCAGAUCUCCCAAAUUCAAUUAGGCAAACAAAAUGUUUGGAAAAUAUAAUAUCGUUUGGUGUUGUUGGUCUUCUUUUUUGUGCAUUUCUGGUGGAAAAUUGUCUAUCGAGGUAUAUUUCUACGGACUACGUAUUCAUACAGAAAAUCAUGGUCGUUGUACCAAGACAACAUGUAGUUCUUGGGCUAUGUGCUUAUCAUGACUGAUGAAUAUAUGUAUAAGGAAUAUUUGGGACAAAAUUAGUGUAGGUAGCUGUAAGAAUACAAUGACUUCUUGUUUAAAAUUUGUGAUCUGAAACAUAACAUUUGCUAUCUUUCUUAAUUUUUUCUUUUAGAGUUGCCUUCAUAGCUGUAGGUUGAGAAUGUAGAUACAAGUACUCCUGCAAAGUAUCUGAUGUAGGCUGAAGGUGGCUUGACAAAUUCAAUGUGUAUGCUAAAAAUAGAGCAUUCCAUGGAGGAGGGUAUUUAAAAUUCAAUUUCAUUUGCUACAGCUUCAAGGUAGAGCACUUAGCUACCAAUAUAUCUGCUUGUCACUACUGGAAUGAGUUCAUUCAAAUCUAGUUUCUGCCAUGGCAUAUAUCCACCGUGAACAUACAACUACCAAAUCUCAUUCUAAACCGUUCUUUGGCUUAUUGUGGGUCCUCCAAUUUUUAACUUAAACUUUUCCGCCCUUUCUACUCGAUUGUUGAACACGCAUAACACUCUAUUUGGAUACAACUGUUUGUGAGGCCUCUGAUUUUUGUAAUGCAUAACAUAUUGUGAAGAUGUAUUUUGUUUUUGAAAUUCAAUGGCAGAAUCGAGAGUAACACAGACAACAAUGAUGCCAUUAAUUGUGGUAAUAUUGAGCGUGGUCAUGGCUGCUAUGGGAAAGUACCAGAAUUUCAAAUAUAUCUAAAAUUUAAAGCCUCUUUCACUUUUAGUAACUGUUUGGAUUUCAAUCUAUUUUUUUCUUUUGGAUUUCAAUUGUUCUUCUCAUUGGAUUUGUAGUUUUUUCAGAUGGAUUGUUCUUCCAUGGCUACCAACAGGGGUGCAAUGGUAGGCAAUAGUAAUCCUACAGCCAAUCCAUCAUCACCGAGAUGACUUGCAAUGAUUUCUAUGUAUCAUGAUCUGAGCCAUUUUUUGCAAUAUUAUGCUGGAGCUCGCAAGGUUUAUUGCGGAAAGAAAACUAAAAUUAACAUAUGGCUGCAAUUAGUUGAAUCGUCUUGCAUCCUUUUUAUUAAUUCUUAACCAUUGAUAGUAAACAAUUGGUCAGUCCAUCUCAAAUAGGAUACGCCUUCCGCGUAAUUAGUAGUUUCAGGGAUUUAUAAAACAUGAAUUCCAAGAAAAGAUACAGCUAGAAUAAAUGAUAAGAUAGAUGUUCAAGUAUUCUGGGGUUGUCCUGUGUGAAGUUUACAAUUCACAAACAUGAAUUACAAGGUAUGUAGACAUUUUUUAUGAUGGAUUCUAAUGUGCUUAUUUACUUUGUGUAUCAGUAAGAGUUUUUUCCCCUUUUCUUCUCACGAGGGAGUCUGUCAAUCUGAUCCCAUGUAUUUUGUGCUUGAAGAUCUCUGUAGCUUGGCUUAUUGAUUGUUUUAUAUUUACCUUGGAAUGUGCAUAUUGCAGUGAAUUUGAGUAUUACAGUGAAUUUGAUUUAUCGGUAAUGCAGUCGCUGCAACAGAAAGCUUUGGAAUGGAGAGGGUAGCUCUAGAAGAUGCAUUUGCCAUAUAUAAUACCAAUUUAUACCAAAGGCUUGGAUAUUAGACCGUAAACAAUUUUUAAUUUUUUUAUGACAUGUUAGUUCAAUUAUAACUUUUUUAUUUCCGUUUAUUUGCUGGAUUUUUUCACUGUAGCUACAGCCAGACUUGGGUAUUCAAUUGGAAAAAAAACUAUAUUCCAACAUUCAAACUUUUGAAAUUUGAACACCCAUUUCGGAAGAUUGCAUUAUAUUUUUUGAUGCAGUUACAAGUUGCAGGAUGUGGACUGAUAUCCAUGAUUGGGAAGUAUCAAGCUUCUCAGGAUCUUCACUAAGAUGCUAAAAAAAACUAGUAGCAUCUGUCAUCUGAGAAUAUAUAACAGGAUGGGUAUUUGUUUUGCUAUAAAGUAGGAUUUGGAUAAUUAUCUUGCUUAUUGGCUUGGUAAUCAUUUUUUGACCACUGUACUACUAUCCUCUGAGUUAUCCAAUGCAUUUUCUGAAUUUGGUAGAAGAAUUCAAAUUUUAUCACA